GGUGAACGCUGGCGGCGUGCCUAAGACAUGCAAGUCGAGCGGGCCGCGGGGUUUUACUUCGUGGUUAGCGGCGGACGGGUGAGUAACGCGUGGGUGACCUACCCGGCAGAGGGGGACCACCCGGGGAAACUCGGGCUAAUAACACAUGUGGACCCGCCCCUUGGGGUGUGUCCAAAGGGUUUUGUUCGCUUCCGAUGGGGCCGGCGUCCCAUCAGCUAGUGGGAGGGGUAAUGGCCGACCAGGGCGCCGCGGGGUAGCCGACCUGAGAGGGUGGCAGGCCACAGGGGCACCGAGACACGGGCCCCACGCCUGCGGGAGGCAGGAGUUAUGGAUCUUCCGCAAUGGGCGCAAGCCUGACAGAGCGACGCCGCUUGGAGGAAGAAGCCCUUGGGGGUGUAAACUCCUGAGCCCGGGACGAAGCCCCCGACGAGUGGACGGACGUUACCGGUGUAAUAGCGCCGGCCAACUCCGUG
This 473-nucleotide ribosomal RNA is filed under the name uncultured bacterium. Its description in RNAcentral is "partial 16S ribosomal RNA". It matches the Rfam family "Bacterial small subunit ribosomal RNA", at positions 28 to 507 of the family's 1533-position model. The record is from RNAcentral.